Molecule: non-coding RNA, 108 nt
Organism: Acanthosepion pharaonis
Lineage: Eukaryota; Metazoa; Mollusca; Cephalopoda; Sepiida; Sepiidae
Source: the annotation of a GenBank genome assembly
GCUAUAUCACGUCGAAACACCGGUUUUCAUACGAUCACGGAAGUUAAGCAACGCCGAGCCUGGUCAGUACCGAGAUGGCUGACCGUUUCGGAAUAUCAGGUUCUGUAA